AGGUCUUGACAUCCCUGACAACCCGAGAGAUCGGGCGUUCCCCUUCGGGGGACAGGGUGACAGGUGGUGCGAUGGUUGUCGUCAGCUCGUGUCGUGAGAUGUUGGGUUAAGUCCCGCAACGAGCGCAACCCUCGACCUUAGUUGCCAGCAUUCAGUUGGGCACUCUAAGGUGACUGCCGGCUAAAAGUCGGAGGAAGGUGGGAUGACGUCAAGUCCUCAUUGGCCCUUAUGUCCAGGGCUACACACGUGCUACAAUGGGCAGUACAAAGGGUAGCAAGCCUGCGAAGGUGAGCCAAUCCCAAAAAGCUGUUCGUAGUUCGGAUUGGAGUCUGCAACUCGACUCCAUGAAGCUGGAAUCGCUAGUAAUCGCGGAUCAGCAUGCCGCGGUGAAUACGUUCCCGGGCCUU
Molecule: ribosomal RNA, 407 nt
Filed under: uncultured Anoxybacillus sp.
Lineage: Bacteria; Bacillati; Bacillota; Bacilli; Caryophanales; Anoxybacillaceae
Description: bacterial SSU rRNA
Rfam family: Bacterial small subunit ribosomal RNA
Source: RNAcentral